This is a long non-coding RNA of Spinacia oleracea (spinach), 338 nucleotides long. RefSeq lists it as uncharacterized. The transcript has 4 exons. Lineage: Eukaryota; Viridiplantae; Streptophyta; Magnoliopsida; Caryophyllales; Amaranthaceae. The record is from RefSeq and is a predicted model, not a curated record.
CUCUACUUCAGCAUUAACUGGCACCUUGCUGCACCAAAUCUUUCAGGCUGGGCUUUUAAGGGAGAAUCCCACAAUAGAGCCGCUUCAGGAAUUUGCAAAGAGUGUUAUUCAAAAAAACAUUCAAGGCAUGUAUGCAUGUGAAGUACAGGAAAAAGAUAUGUGUGAAACCUUGAAUGAUACAAUUCCAAUGAUCUGCAAUUGGAUAAAAUAUUUCCGGGACUCUCAAAUUUCCAAUGCACCUACAGUUGAUAAGCUUAAUGAGCUUAAAUCAUUUAAAGAAGUGUUUCUACAACGAUUUUCAAGAGAUGGCAUUUCAAGAGGGAACAUUUCAACUAGUU